GACGAACGCUGGCGGCGUGCUUAACACAUGCAAGUCGAACGGAAAGGCCCUGCUUUUGUGGGGUGCUCGAGUGGCGAACGGGUGAGUAACACGUGAGUAACCUGCCCUUGUCUUUGGGAUAACUUCAGGAAACUGGGGCUAAUAUCGGAUAGGAGCUCCUGCUGCAUGGUGGGCGUUGGAAAGUUUCGGCGGUUGGGGAUGGACUCGCGGCUUACGAGCUUGUUGGUGGGGUAGUGGCUUACCAAGGCUUUGACGGGUAGCCGGCCUGUGAGGGUGACCGGCCACAUUGGGACUAAGGUACGGCCCAGACUCGUACGGGAGGCAGCAGGGGGGAAUAUUGCACAGUGGGCGGAAGCCUGAUGCAGCAGCGCCGCGUGCGGGAUGACGGCCUUCGGGUUGUAAACCGCUUUCGCCUGUGACGAAGCGUGAGUGACGGUAAUGGGUAAAGAAGCACCGGCUAACUACGUG
RNAcentral lists this ribosomal RNA (468 nucleotides) under uncultured bacterium. Its description in RNAcentral is "partial 16S ribosomal RNA". It matches the Rfam family "Bacterial small subunit ribosomal RNA", at positions 28 to 507 of the family's 1533-position model. The record is from RNAcentral.